UGCCUACACAUGCAAGUCGAACGAGAAAGCUCCUUCGGGAGUGAGUAGAGUGGCGCACGGGUGAGUAACGCGUGGAUAAUCUACCUACGAGUUCGGGAUAACUUCNCGAAAGUGGAGCUAAUACCGGAUGGUCUGGCAUUUAUAUCUUAGAUGUCGGUAAAGAUAGCCUCUUCUUGAAAGCUAUUGCUUGUAGAUGAGUCCGCGUCUCAUUAGCUAGUUGGUAGGGUAACGGCCUACCAAGGCAACGAUGAGUAGCUGGUCUGAGAGGAUGAUCAGCCACACUGGAACUGGAACACGGUCCAGACUCCUACGGGAGGCAGCAGUGGGGAAUAUUGGGCAAUGGGCGCAAGCCUGACCCAGCAACGCCGUGUGAGGGAUGAAGGUCUUCGGAUUGUAAACCUCUGUCAGAAGGGAAGAAGUGCAUGAGGUCCAAUAGGCCUUAUGUUUGACGGUACCUUCAGAGGAAGCACCGGCUAACUCCGUGCCAGCAGCCGCGGUAAUACGGAGGGUGCAAGCGUUAUUCGGAAUCACUGGGCGUAAAGCGUGCGUAGGCGGCGAGGUAAGUCAGGNGUGAAAUCCCACGGCUCAACCGUGGAACUGCACUUGAAACUGCUUUGCUUGAGUACUGGGAGGGGGAUGGCGGAAUUCCUGGGUGUAGGAGUGAAAUCCGUAGAUAUCAGGAGGAACACCAGUGGCGAAGGCGGCCAUCUGGGACAGUAACUGACGCUGAGGUACGAAAGCGUGGGGAGCAAACAGGGAUUAGAUACCCUGGUAGUCCACGCUGUAAACGAUGGAUACUCGAUGUCGGGCCUUNGAGCUUCNGUGUCAAAGUUAACGCAUUAAGUAUCCCCCCUGGGGAGUACGGUCGCAAGGCUGAAACUCAAAGAAAU
Molecule: ribosomal RNA, 890 nt
Filed under: uncultured Desulfomicrobium sp.
Lineage: Bacteria; Pseudomonadati; Thermodesulfobacteriota; Desulfovibrionia; Desulfovibrionales; Desulfomicrobiaceae
Description: bacterial SSU rRNA
Rfam family: Bacterial small subunit ribosomal RNA
Source: RNAcentral